Molecule: unclassified non-coding RNA, 814 nt
Filed under: Hevea brasiliensis (rubber tree)
Lineage: Eukaryota; Viridiplantae; Streptophyta; Magnoliopsida; Malpighiales; Euphorbiaceae
Source: RNAcentral
UCAUCAGGGAUGAGGUUCUUGUAGAAAUUUUGGGAUCAAUUUCUUUUGAAGCGAUGUUUUAUGUUGGUCUUGCAAUAUUCGUACUUGUAACUGAUCGAGUUCAGAGGCCAUAUCUGCAAUUUAGCCCAAAGAGGUGGGGUCUCAUUACAGGCCUUAAAGGAUACUUGACAUCAGCCUUCUUUGCUAUGGGCUUUAAGGUCAUCUUCCCUCUGUUGGUUGUGUAUGUAACUUGGCCAGUGCUUGGCCUACCUGCCUUGGUUUCUGUUUUUCCGUUCUUAGUUGGCUGCAUUGCUCAACGUGCUUUUGAGAUUCGUCUGGACCAGCGGAGAUCAUCUUGCUGGCCUUUAGUUCCUAUUAUAUUUGAGGUUUAUAGAAUAUAUCAAUUAACCAAAGCUGCUCAUUUUAUCGAGAAAUUAAUGUUGUCCAUGAGGGGGCUUCCUGAGUCUGCAGAGUUGUUGGAAAGAAACAACGCCUUAAUUGUUAUGAUAGUAACCUUCCAAGUUCUCGGUGUGGUUUGCCUCUGGUCAUUGUUAACCUUUUUCAUAAGGCUCUUUCCUUCUAGACCUGUAGCAGAGAACUAUUGAUGUUUGCAAUGGCUAUUGUAUAUUCUGUUCCUAUAGGUUUCGUGCUCAUUUAACAUCUGCACAGCACGAGAUAACUACAAGGUUGAUGAACGUAAGUUUAAUGAUUGUCAUCCGUUAUAAUUUCCGCUAAUCUUAGAUUACUAAACUAGGUUCAUUAAGCAAGUCCUGUCUUGGUUCCUUGGAAUCCGUUGUUAAGGAAGUACGAGUGCCAGUUUAGAGAAAGACUUGAA